RNAcentral lists this long non-coding RNA (923 nucleotides) under Mytilus galloprovincialis (Mediterranean mussel). Lineage: Eukaryota; Metazoa; Mollusca; Bivalvia; Mytilida; Mytilidae. The record is from RNAcentral.
GAUACAUACUACAUGAUAUACAUACAAUAAAAUAAACAUCAUUUGGCGUUUAGCCGUCUCGGUUGUUGUCACAGUGAUUGAUUAAUUCCCAAGCUUGAGAAUCAUAUCAAUCGGAAGAUCUGAGUUCAUGCUUGAACUUCUGAUAACGAUAGGACACUAACUUUAAGUUCAUGCUUGAACUUACUGAUGGACCUGUUCUUGUUUAUGACUACAAGCAUGUAGAUCAAAAACGUCAGUGAUAGAAGUCCAUGCAUGGACUGACGUCAGGACUGACUUAGAACAGGGAUCUGUUGUUAGUUAGUGUCCGGAAACUUCUAGCACGUGUCUGGUCUAUUUAAAAUUUAACCAAAUUACUGCUAUAAGUCCCAUUAACUGUGACAAGCAACUUAUACAUCAAUAACUCUGCAUCAAAUUUGGGGAAAUUGAGUUAAUAAUAACGAAAAUAUGCCAAAAUACAGUUGAUGACUGGUAUUUAAAGGAGACAACUGAACCCCAAAUGAAGAUGGUUACUGUAAAUUCAAAUUUUACUGAGUGCGUAUGGCAAUGAUAAAUUUCGCAUUAAUAGAUGAUACUUAUAUUCUACAGAUUUUCUAAAAUCGCAAUGAUAAAUGCACGCAUCAAUUCUGAAUUUACAGUAUCUUUGAACAAAGAUUUGUAACUAUAUUAAUAUAUCUGAAUAUGUGAAUUGAUAUACAAAUAAACUUAGUAUCAGAUGCGAAUAGAUGAAUAGCAAUUAAAACGUCCAUCACUAAUCGUUUAUCAGUAUGUAACUCCGGCGUGCUGGAAAACAUUGUAAAAUUUUUAGUGAUAAGCACAAGUGUUCUGAUUAACUACUGUCUAUCUCAGCGGGUCGUGAGAAGAAAUGUUACGACUUGAUGAAAUCAAAUGUUCUGCUUGACCUUAACAUAACUUUCAUAAACAUG